AUUUAAAUAAUUUAAAAAAAAUAUUGAUUUGUGGAAUCAAAAAUAUGAAAUGUAACAUUUUAAAUC
Molecule: transfer RNA, 66 nt
Filed under: Ethope himachala
Lineage: Eukaryota; Metazoa; Arthropoda; Insecta; Lepidoptera; Nymphalidae
Description: tRNA-His
Source: RNAcentral